GAAGUACAGAAAGGUUUUACUGCUGCAUAUCCAACACAAUCCUCCAUUCCUUUUAAAUCUCAAGCUUCAGUAAUCCCAGAAUCAGAAAAAAAAGGAUUCAAUAGUCAAGCCAAGAGAUUUCCUCAUAAGAAGAAUGAUAUCCCAGGACCUGGGUUCUACAAUGUUAUUCACCAGUCACCGGUGUCCAACAGUGUCUCAUUGUCCAAGAAAGGAACUUGCAUGUUUCCCUCAAUGGUGAGAACCACUUCUCUUGAGUAAAGCAUUAACUGUGCGCCCGAUUGGACACCAUCAUUUCUAAAUACCCUGCAGCGAAUGCAUACACUAUCCCAUCGGAUUUUAUUUCCAAGAGAGACUUUAGUAAUUCGUGUUCCAGCAUGUUCCAGUUGCCAAGCUUUAUGAAAGCUCUCAAGUUUGAAACUCCUGCACCAAACUAUUACAAUGCCUCUGUCUCUUGCUGCAAGCAGAGAAACAACGUCUGUACUCGAGCCGGGUUUAUGUCAAAAACCCAAAGAGGAUCUUUCGCUUUUGCUGAUAAAGGACCUCCCCCAGGGCAUUAUGAUAUCAACGAAUCCCUUGUGAAGCAGUCGCCAAAUACAUUAAUGUCUUGUUUUAAAUCAAAAACCAACCGUGGAUUAAAACUGACGUCAACAGGCCCGGGACCUGGUUAUUACAACCCCAGUGAUUGCACAAAAGUUCCAAAAAAGACUCUUUUCCCGUGAGUCCCAAUCAUUCUGGUCUUUCUUUUGAAAGGUGGUUGUGGGGAAGAAGCCCAACAUAGAGAAAAGGAUGGGGUGUCACUGCUUGGCAGAGCACAGUGCCGGGCCACUCUCUUCAGGGGCCCUUAGUCACACAUAAUGAUGCUCAGUAAAUGCCUGUUGAAUGCCUGAUACUUAUUGAGCAACCACUGUGUGCCAGGAACUUAAAAUUGUAUUCAAUUAUUAUUAUAAUCCUGUUGUAAGAAUUGUUACUCUUACCCCAUAGAGGAGGAAGCAAGGCUUCGGAUUUGGCGGGACAUUUGCCCAAGUCCACACAGCCAACUUGAGGAGCCACAGGGAAUUGGCUCAGGACUAAGUCUUUCCUCAUUCCCUGUGAUGCUGGAUUCCCCUGGUGCUGACAUUGUUCUAUUUUUGUAACAUAAAAUCUUCGCUGGAGUGGCAGGACAUUCAGAAGCAGUCAAGCUCUCAUAGCUUUAUACCGAUGGAAGUUUAAGCCCUGACUUUCGAGUUGGUGAUACCUGCUGGAUUUGUACUUCAGCUCUGCUGUUUUUAUGCUCUGUGACCUUGGGCAGAGUUCUAACCUCUCUGAGCCUCCAUGCCCUCAUCUGUAAGGUGGGAAUAAUUCCUGCCUCGUAGGAUUUUGCUUUCAGAAUUAAAAAUACAUGUUUGGCUGGGCGCAGCAGCUUGCGCCUGUAAUCCCAGCACUUUGGGAGGCCGAGGUGGGCGAAUCACUUGAGAUCAGGUGUUCGAGACCAGUCUGGCCAACAUGGUGAAACCCUGUCUCUACUAAAAAUACAAAAAUUAUCCAGGCAUGAUGGUGCACGCCUGUAAUCCUAGCUACUCGGGAGGCUGAGGCAGGAGAAUCACUUGGACCUGUGAGGCCCAGAUUGUGGUGAGCCGAGAUUGCGCCACUGCACUCCAGCCUGGGUGACAGAGUGAGACCCUGUCUCAAAAAACAAAAAAAGUAAA
Molecule: long non-coding RNA, 1685 nt
Filed under: Homo sapiens (human)
Lineage: Eukaryota; Metazoa; Chordata; Mammalia; Primates; Hominidae
Description: non-protein coding lnc-STPG1-2:5
Source: RNAcentral